This 15007-nucleotide long non-coding RNA is filed under the name Gossypium barbadense (sea-island cotton). Its description in RNAcentral is "long non-coding RNA (GBAR_LNC012102)". The record is from RNAcentral. Lineage: Eukaryota; Viridiplantae; Streptophyta; Magnoliopsida; Malvales; Malvaceae.
UAGAUAAAUAAAUAAACAUUUAUUAAAAAAGUCCAUUGAAAGUCCAGGCCUACUGUUGCUACCCAAAGCCCAAAUACAAAAACCCAUAUCCGGGUAUAACCCAAUAGCCGGAACAAUACCUAAUACCCUUAAGCUAAACCCAAACCCAAAUAAGGCCCGUUACACCCAGCAGUCCGUCAGACUCAUUAUCCCUGCUAGCCUAAGUCAGACCUAACCCAUUACAUUACAGACCUUGACCCAAAACAAAACAGCCCAAAAGGCCCAAUAGACUUAAGAGAAACAGGGAAACCCUAGGGUUUCCGAAUACUGUGGCGCCGCAAACAUUUCUGGAAGCUUCGGGGAGUGUCUGGCAACCCCCAAAUCGAGGCCACCGUUUAAUGAGUUGUCCCAAGGGGCUUCAAUGCUCAUCAACGCCCCGAUCCUCGGUCGUCCCUUGGUCUGGCCCCAAAUUACGUUAUGAAUGUCAUGACCAUCACCAAGGCUCCAUCAGCGCCGUGAUCAGUGCACGCGUCUACACCAGCAUGGUCACUGCCAGAUCCCUCGCUCGAUUGCCUGCAAGAAAAGGAAACAAACAGCAGAUACGCGAAAAAGCAGAGUAGAAAAUGGCAAGGAAAUCACAGCACAUCAGUCAAAGAUACAAGAAAUCAGAGAUUUCUUUCCUUAUGUAACAAAUCAGUAGGCUAUAAAAAAAGCCUUUGUAACCCUUGUAACGAUUACACAGAUACAGAAAUAAAGAAACGAAUACAAAUAGUUUCAAAGGUGAUAACUGAGUGACUUGUUCUCUAUUUUUUUUAGCCCAUAUAUAUGAACUGUUUAGCAAAAUACUAAGGGUAUUUGAAAAGAAGAAGAACUACCUGUUUUGGAUCUAAAGGAAUGAGGAUUUUUAAACCCUCCGAUCUUCGUAUACAGUGGCCCUUAGGGCGGCGCGUGGGCGCGUGGACCGGCACGUGGCGUACGAAGGCCAGAACCGGAGCUCCCUUCCUCUCUCUCUUUCAGAGAGAAUUUUUUAGUUUUUUUUUUAAAAAAUCGGGGUUCAAAUGAAUCUUAAGCUGAGAAGGUAGCUUAUAUAGCUUGAACGAAACGGCGUCGUUUUGCGACCCCCAGGAUCCGCGUGUUGACCCGAUUACCUGGGGAGGAUCCGCGCAUUUUUUAAAAUUGGGUUAAUUUCCCAAUCGGUCCUUCUACCCCUUUUGUGUUUACAAUUAAACUAUUUUAUUUAUGAUUUGGCCCUAUUAUUUUAUUUUAGUUUUAAUUUGACCCUGACAGUUGUUAAAUUAUAUUCUGAGAAACGUGGCCGUUUUAAGAAUAGGGCAUUUUGCCCAGUGAGUCCCUCUAAUUUUACGCGCGUUUUAAAUAGGGCCUCAAUUCAGUUUUGUUUCUUUGAAAUUCGCCCUGUAAUUUUGCUGAAUUUUAAAUUUAGUCCUAUAUUUAUUCUAUAUAUAUAUCUAUUUUAUAUAUUGAUAUUUAUUUUUAUCCUUAUUAUUUAUAUUAUAUACUAUAAGAUUAUUUUAUUAUACAUAUAUUAUUAUUCUUCAUAUUACCUAUUAUUUUUCAAAUUAUUUUACAUCAUUAUUUUUUAUAUUAUUAUAUUUUUACUUGUAUUAUAUGUUAAUUAUUUAUACAUAUAAACUUUCAUUAUUUUAUAUUAUAUCUAUUAUAUAUCUUAUUUCCUAUAUAUUUAAAUUAUAUUUUAUAACAUUUAUUUUAUUUUAUUUUUAUUCUAUAUUUUUUAUAUAUAUGUUAUGUGUAUCAUAUAUUAUCUAUUAUAUUAUUCAUUAAGAUUUGUAAAUUAAAUUACAUUUUAAACUCAUAUUAUAUAUAUUAAAUUAUUAAUUAUGUAUUAUUUUAUUUUAAAAUGAUGUUUUGUGAUAUGUAUUAUUUUAUAAAUCCUUUUACCUACUUUUAUUUUAUAUAUAUUUUUAUAUAAUUAUUAUUCUCUUAUAAAUAUUUUGUUAUUAUAUUUUAUAUAUUAUGUAGCAAAUACUAUUUUAAAAUUAUUAUUAAAAUUUAGGUCUUUAUUUGUGUUAUGUGUAUACUUUGUUGACAAUAAUUUAUUCCAUUGUUUUUAUAUUGCAUAUAUCAUGCGUUAUUUUAUAUUUAUUAUUUGAUAUUACAUUUCAUGAGCAUAUACAAUGAUAUUAUAUUACUCUUUUGUAUGCCAUACAUUAUUUAAUUAUUGCUUUCUUAUAUAUAACGUGCAUUAUUUAAUUAUCACUUUGUAUGUUUGUAUAUCUUGUUUAUUCAUUCUCAAUACAUGCUAUAUAUAUAUCUAUGUAUGCAUAUUGUUACUAUUUGCUUUAUAUGUAUUAUUUUAUAUGUAUAUAUCUAAUGCACGAUCUUUAUAUCAUAGUAUUCAUUUUUAAAUGCACGUAUUAUUUACCUACUACAAUAAUAUGUUACUAUGUAUGAUUUAUAAUGCAAUAUAAUUCCUCACACAUCACCAUUUUUUUAAAAAAAGAGCUCCAAGGUUUUCAAAAAAAUAUAAAGGCAAUGCUUGAUGUUUGGAAAUUUCGGGAAAGUAGUGCCCUAACUUAUCGGUUUGCGACUCUUCUCGUUGAGUUCGAAUAAUCAAAUACCCUUUUAAGUUUUUAAAGGUUUUCAAAAUGUAAGUGACUGUCUUGGAAUUUCAAAGAAAUAUGACCAAACUUACUGGAUGUGGCGUUUUGUUGUUUCAAGAUAGGGAUUUUCGAAAGGCUAACUCAAUGUCAAUAUUUUACGAGUGAGUUCCAAUUUUCAAAAUCCAAAAUAUUUCAAAGAGGAUUGCGUCUUAAAAUUUCUAAUUUCCGACCUUAAAGACAUUUGAUAAUCAAUUUGGUACCAAUUUUUGGGCGUUACGAGGGUGCUAACCCUUCCUCGUACGUAACCGACUCCCGAACUCGUUCUUUUGAUUUCGUAGACCAAAACCGAUGAUUUUAAAAUAAAAUUGAUCUAAAGGUGAUCCAAUCACACCUAAAAAGCUUGGUGGCGACUCCCGUUUUCAUUUUUUUAAAGUCGAUUCCCAUUUUCUAAAACUCGAUUUGAAAAUGAUUUCGACAGCUUGGCGACUCCACUGCGGACUAAUAAGAGAGUCAAGCCGUGUAAUUGAUUAUCUCUUGUCUUAAUGUCGGAAAUUAAAAAUUUUAAAAUUUAAUUUUCUUUGCAUUACAUGUGUUUGUGUUAUUGCAUGUGUUGCUAUAUUCUAAUACGCAUUGCAUUUGCAUGACCGUUGUGGUCACACCCUUAAGUGGGAGUGAGAAGCUACGCCUUCGUGAGGUUUUCGCCUCCGUGCAGGAUAGUGGAUCACUUUUGGGAUACAUCCGUACCUAUGGUUUCGUGAGAUUUUCAUCUCCGUGUAGCCAUAGGGAAAUGUGUCCCCCUGAACUGAACUCGAUUCAAAUGAGCCUAUAAUGGGUGAGGAUCGAGGAAUCUGCUGGUUCAGGUACCUCAACUUUAGAACUAAACCACAUAUAGAAGGACCGUAAGAGCUCAACCUAGAUAGAAUUAUACCGUAAUUAUUACCCUUACAGGUUAUCUUUGAGUUUAUUGUUAUCAUGUGAUACUAACUAUCUCUUUUCUUUUGUUGCAUAUCAUUUCGCAUUUAAAAGGUAUCAAUUCGCGGUCAGUGUCUAAAUUAGAGAGUUUUAUUAUAGAGAACGGACUUCUUGAUAGAGUGGAGAGCAAUGCCAACGUCCAUAGAUGGUCUGAGCAAACUCAGUUAGAAAAGGGAGAUAGUAUAGCUGUGGGAUAUAUGUCGGAGCUGUCAGGAUAUACUCGCAUCAGUGUCACGCAGGAUAAUCUCCAAGAACUUAAGGAGAUUUGGGAUCAAUGGGGCAACGAGACUAAACAGUUAUUCUAUGGUAAUUACGUAGAUUUACCUUACUUGCUCGAUGUUCAAAUAGAUGAGCACUUGUUCCGAGCCCUCGCUCAGUUUUGGAAUCCAGCGUAUAGUUGCUUUACUUUUGGGGAGGUAGACUUGGUGCCUACCGUAGAGGAGUACACUGCCUUGUUACGUUGUCCCAGGUUCCAGGUUGAUAGAAUCUAUUCUCGAGCUGCUAAUGUCCCUACCUUUUGGAAGAAAUUGAUGACUAUUACAGGGAUGAGUGAGCAGUGGAUUACGACCAGAAUUAAAGAGAACGGUGAGUGCAAGUGCAUUUCAUGGGACGCUUUGAAGGGUCUGAUUUUGAUGCAUCCCGAUGAAACAAAGAGGGUAGAUGUUUUUGCCUUAAGUUUGUAUGGAUUGAUGGUGUUCCCUAGGGCUUUGGGAUAUGUGGAUGAGGCAACCACGGAUCUUUUCCAUAGACUCAGUAAGAGGGUCACUUCAGUCCCUGCAAUUUUGGCAGAGACAUUCAGGUCCUUAGGCACAUGUAGAAAAGCUGGUGCAGGCAGGUUUGUUGGUUGUGUACAAUUGCUUCUAGUUUGGUUCUAUAGUCAUUUUCAAUUGGUAGAUAAGGUCGUUUGUCGGGUUUUCUUCGAGGAUUACUCACCGCUGAAGGGCAUAGUCGCUUCAACUAGGAGAGUUGAUGUUCCAGAGGAGAAUUGGAUAGCACUACUUCAAAAUCUUCAGUCGAAAGAUGUUGAGUGGAGAGCUCCAUGGAUGAUUCCUGGUGAGAUUCUUUACCGUUGCGGCAGUUUCGAUUGGGUCCCUUUAUUGGGAAUUUGGGGUGCCAUUGGUUAUGCCCCCUUGCUCGUGUUAAGGCAAUUCGAUUUGAGGCAGUUCGUGCCAGCAACUCAUGGGCUAACUCAAAGUGAGUUCGCAUAUAGAGGAGCUGAUUACAAGAAAAGGGUCGGUGAGAUCUCUAGCGCUUGGAACAAGGCGUGCCGAUUGAAAGGAGUAGCUAUUGGCCCUGCUACGACUCCAGAAUAUGUUGAAUGGAGAGGUAGAAGGAUCAAUGAUAACAUUCCUGAGCCAAAUAUGGAAAGAGCUCGACCGAUGGAGGAAUAUCUGCAAGUGAUGCCCUCGGAGUUAGAAAUUAUGAAGCAAGAAUUUGAGAGGAAAAAUCUGGAGCUCGAGAAAAGGAUAGCAAAGCUUGAAGAAGAAAAAAUGUACUUGAGUUUAGAUAUUGAUGUCCAGAAGAUGGAGGUCGAAAAAAAAAGAAAGGAAGGAAAAGAGGAAGAUUGAAGAGGAUAGAGAUGACUUGAAGGAAUACUACAAAAAGGCACAGGUAUCCUUGAGAAGAGCGAAAAUAGGAGGGUCUUCAGAUCAAUUGCAGAAAGAGGUCCAAGAAGGAAAGGCAAGAGCUGAGUACUGGGAGAAGAAGUUUCAAGAGAUGCAAUCGCGAAAUUUGGCAUUAGAAGAAGAGAAUAAAGGGUUGAAGUCUAAAGUAACUGAGCUUGGAAGAUCCCUUCGAUGGCAUCGCAACCAUGAUUCUACGGUCGAGUUAAAAGAGCUAAAGAGUAAAGUUGAAGAUUUGGAAGCAGCAUUGCAGGAAAGUAAACUUCAGAUCGAGCAACUCGAGACACAAGGAGAUUAUCUAAAGGGAGAGCUUCAUCAGUCUAGAGGGCAGAUUAGAGAAAUGGAUCAUGUCAUGGAAGAAGCCAUAGCUCAGAUUCGAGAGGUUGCUGAAUAUGUGCGAGACUUGGUUGUACGAGCCGAGGUAUUGAGUAUGAUGUGUGGGUCGUCGUCAGACAUCGGAAAAGAGUUAGCCCUUUUAUUAGAUAAAGUUAAAACUUUGGGCAUUAGGGCGAAAGCAUACUUGUAAUCCAUUUAUAUGUAAAGAUAUUCUUUUUCUAAAUGAAGUUUUCUAAAUGAGAUUGAAUCGAGAUUGAUGCCUUUGUUGCAUUCAUACAUUUGCAUUACAUCAUAUCAUAUGCAUUCAAGGUUAUAGAAAGACCCUAAUUAGUUAAAGUUUCUUUAUAAAGGUAGAAAAGAAAAACUGGAAAUUACGCAUUCUUACGGCACUCGCACUAAAACUAAGAACAUGGAUCAAAGGUUUGAGCAGUUGCAAAAGGAUAUGCAAGACCAGUUGCAAGAGCAGUUGGCUAAAAUGCAGAAUGAGAUGAGGGAGCAAAUGAUGGAAGCUCAGAGGAAUAUAAUGGCCGAAAUGGCUCAGUUACUGAGGGCCACUGAUAAAGGAAAGGCUCCUAUGGCCAUCAUUGAAGAGGAAAAUGAGGGUCCUCUUCUAGGUUUUACACCGCCGCAUGUAUCAUUGCAAACCGAGGCACCUCCUAGAAGGCCAUCUACUACUGUGAGGCCUCAGCAUGGGCUAAUCGAUGCUGGUAUCCAUGUGAAUUUUUCGGUUGGUUCAGGGCUUAAUAUGGGUGACAAUCUUACUAAUCCUCUUGUUCCUGAUCUAGAUAUGGUGAAAAAGGAAUAUUUGAAGGCCGAAGCUGCAAGGUAAUUAGAUGAACGCUGUAGAUGGUUAGAAGAAAAGUUCAAGGCUUUGGAAGGCACUGGCAAUAAUCAUGGGGAUGAUGCCAAGGACUUAAGUCUAGUCCCAAACCUAGUGUUACCUCACAAAUUCAAAAUGCCAGAAUUUGAAAAAUACAAUGGUACUACUUGCCCAGAGGCCCACAUCACAAUGUUUUGUAGAAGGAUGACGGGGUAUGUAAACAAUGAUCAGCUGUUGAUCCAUUGUUUUCAAGAUAGUUUGAUAGGUGCGGCAGCCAGAUGGUACAAUCAGUUGACCGGGCUAGAAUAAGUUCAUGGAGGGAUCUUGCAUAAGCCUUCAUGCAACAGUAGAAUCAUGUAACAGACAUGACCCCUGACAGGAUUACCCUGUAAAACAUGGAGAAGAAGCCUAAUGAGAAUUUUAGGCAAUAUGCACAGAGGUGGAGAGAGGUAGCGAUAGAGGUUCAACCACCACUGUUGGAGAAGGAGACCACUAUGUUAUUCAUUAAUAUUUUGAAAGCCCUAUUUAUUACUCAUAUGAUUGGAAGCACUACUAAAAGUUUUGCGGACAUAGUUAUGGCAGGAGAGAUGAUAGAGAAUGCCAUAAGAGGGGGAAGAAUUGAAGGAGAGGGAGUCAAAAGAUCAGCCCUAAGAAGAAAAGACAAUGAGGUAAACAAUACAAGUGGUUUUAAUUCAAAAGCAGUCACAGUUAGCCAGCCCAAAGUAGCCACAGUUGGGCAACAAGUCUCUUAAAAGCAGGAAUCCAACACUAGGUAUGAGAGGAUGCAAUUUACACCUAUACCUGUGACGUAUAGGGAACUCUAUCAAAAUCUAUAUGAUGCGCAUGCUAUAGCCCCUUUCCAUUUAAAACCAUUACAGCCUCUGUAUCCUAAAUGGUAUGAUGCAAAUGCCAGAUGUGAGUAUCAUGCUGGAAUAUCGGGGCACUUAAUCGAGAAUUGUACUGGAUUCAAGAAAGCCGUAGAGAGGUUGAUCAAGAAUGGGGUUUUAAAAUUUGAGAGUACCUCAAAUACUGAGAAUCCUUUGCCAAACCAUGACAAUCAGGGAGUAAAUGCCAUUGGUGAAGCCGGUGAAAAAAGGGAAAAGGAAAAUGUUGAUGAGAUAAGGAUGCCUAUGAGGGUAAUCUGGAAGGAGAUGAUGAAGAAAGGUAUGUUGACCUUUAAAAAUACGAAAGAAAUAAUGUGGGAUUACGGUGAGUUUCGUGAAGAUUGCGAGGAAUUCAAGGCCUUGGUGCAAGGCUUCAUAGACAACAAAGAGCUACAGGUUUAUGAAGGUAGCUCUAGUGAAAAGCAAGUAUGUGUGUUGGAAAAUGAACAGCAAAGAACCAACAGACCAAGGAUCAUUAUCUCCUUGCCAGGGAAUAAUGAAAUAAGGACACCAUCAGCGCCCAAGGUUAUUAUCCAUACACCUACUCCUUUCCCUUACAAGGAUAGCAAGAAAGUACCAUGGAGUUAUGACUGUAGCGUGACGGUGCCGGGAGAAGGAAACAUAGCCAGCGCAUCUAAAGAUGUACAAGAGGAAGGUUCCCAUACGUGAAGUGGGAAGCGUUAUGAUAUGGGGGACGUCAGGGUGGAGCCCACAAAAUCUAAGAAUGCUGAAAUUGAGAAAAAGAGUGAAGUACCUGUUAACGAGCCGGUGAGAGAGGAGGAAGCUAAGGAAUUUCUAAAGUUUCUUAAGCAUAGUGAGUACAGUAUGGUCGAGUAGUUGCGUAAGCAACCAGCGCGUAUAUCGAUUUUAGCCUUACUGCUAAGCUCUGAAGUGCAUCGAGAAGCGUUGUUGAAGGUACUCAACGAGACAUAUGUCACUCAUGAUAUAUCUGUCAAUAAGUUGGACCGGUUGAUAAAUAACAUCAAUGCUGAUAAUUUCAUCUACUUCAAUGAUGAUCAAAUUCCACCUGGGGGCAUAGGGUUAACUAAGGCUUUGCACAUCACCACUCGUUGCAAAGGAUACACGUUUCCAAGUGUACUCGUUGAUAAUGGGUCCGCUUUGAACGUCCUUCCAUUAUCCACAUUCAACAGAUUACCUAUUGACAGUUCACACAUGAAGACAUGUCAUAAUGUGGUAAGAGCCUUUGACAGAACUGAAAGGAAAGUAAUGGGACGAAUUGAUAUCCCUCUGGAGAUUAGACCAAAUACGUAUGAAGUUGACUUCUUGGUAAUGGAUAUCAAGCCCUCCUAUAAUUGUUUGUUGGGGAGGCCAUGGAUACACUCGGCAGGAGCGGUGCCUUUUUUACUGCGCCAAAAAUUGAAGUUGGUGACAGAUGGACGCUUGAUAACCAUCAAUGCAGAGGAGGACAUCAUAGCAGUCGUCACUAGUAAACCUCCUUAUGUGGAGACAAAUGAGGAGGCUAUUGAGUGUUCUUUUCGUUCUUUAGAAAUUGUUAAUACUACCUUCAUUUCGGAGGGAAGCGAGGUGCUGGUUCCCAGGAUGUCUAGAGCAACAAGGAUGGCCCUACAAAUAAUGAUGGGGAAAGGAGCAUUGCCAGGAAAAGGACUAGGAAAAUAGUUGCAAUGAGGGAUUCAAGUCCCAAAAUUGAUGGAGAAGAAGGAUCGCUUUGGUUUGGGUUUUAAGCCAGACCAUAAACAAAAGAGACAAGAGAUGAAAAAGCGUCAAGUAAGAAGGAAGGCGCAUUUGAACGGAGGAGAAGUAGAGUGGGAACUGAUGACAUUCCCACCUAUAUCCAAAACCUUUAAGUCAGGAGGGUUGCUAGUAAAAGAGAGUCAUCAAAUCAAUAUUGUACAUAAUGAGUGGUUUGGACAGGAAAACCUUGAGGGUAUUCACCCUUACGAACCGGGGAGCUCUCUGAACAAUUGGACUGCGGAGGAUCUUCCUGUAGUCUUUAGAAAUUUUUCAGAGUAAUUCUCGAAACAUGUUUAUUACUCUAGGGCCUAGGAGUAGUAAGAUUACAUUUUGUGAAAAUAGGCCUAUGUUCAUAUAUUAUUAUUCAAAUAAAACAUAACUUUUACCAAUUUAAAAGAGUAUUGUCUCAUUUUUAUCAACCAAUAUUUCUUUAAAUUCUAACAAUUCUUAUUCUUUUAUUCAUAGCACAUAAACGAUCAUUCUCAAAUUCAUUCAUUCUUUAUAUAUUCUUUCAUACCCCUUACAGGUCUCUAGAUAUCAAUGAUAUGAGCGCUAAUACUGCCGUUCCUGAUUUCUCUUGUGAGCAAGACAUGUGUUUAGAGGAGCCUUAGGAUUUUGAAGAUGUUCAAGAUUGUGACGUAUCUCUCGAUCUAUUAAGAAUGGUAAAACAGGAGGAGAAACAAAUCAUGCCACAUGAAAAAGAGGCAAUAGAUAAUAUAGCCCUAGAGGAAGGGAAGGAGGUCAAAAUUGGAACACUGAUCGCUAAUGACACAAGGCGUAGCUUGAUUGAGUUGCUUCAGGAAUUCAAGGAUAUCUUUGCAUGGUCUUAUCAGGAUAUGCCCGGAUUGAGUACUGAUAUUGUAGUACAUCGUCUUCCGAUAAGACAAGAAUGUAGACCGGUCCAACAGAAGUUGCGAAGGAUGCGGCCAAACAUUGUCCUGAAAAUAAAAGAUGAGGUUAAGAAGCAGUUUGAUGCAGGAUUUCUGCAGGAAGUGAAGUACUCUGAAUGGGUAGCUAAUAUUGUACCUGUUCCUAAGAAAGACGGGAAGGUACGAAUGUGCGUUGAUUACAGAGAUCUAAACAAAGCAAGCCCAAAGGAUAAUUUUCCUCUACCACAUAUCGACACUUUAGUAGACAACACAGCGGGAUAUUCGUUGUUCUCCUUCAUGGACGGCUUCUCAGGAUACAAUCAGAUAAAGAUGCAUCCAGAUGAUAUGGAUAAAACUACUUUCAUAACAUUAUGGGGCACCUUUUGUUAUAAAGUAAUGCCGUUUGGGUUGAAGAACGCAGGGGCAACAUACCAACGAGCCAUGGUAAACUUGUUUCACGACAUGAUGCAUAAGGAUAUUGAGGUAUACGUUGAUGAUAUGAUCGCCAAGUCGCGAACAGAAAAAGAACACAUUGAGGUCUUGAGAGGAUUGUUCUUAAGAUUGAGAAAAUUUCAGUUGAAGCUCAAUCCAGCAAAGUGCACCUUUGAAGCCAGAUCGGGGAAGUUAUUAGGCUUCGUAGUCAGUAAAAAGGGAAUUGAAGUUGACUCAGACAAGGUCAGAGCCAUACGGGAGUUGCCUCCACCACGUACUCAAAAAGAAGUUCGAGGAUUCCUAGGAAGGUUGAAUUACAUUGCUCGGUUCAUUUUACAAUUGACCAAGAAAUGUGAUCCUAUCUUUCGUCUCCUCAGAAAGCACAAUCAAGGUGCUUGGGAUGAAGAAUGCCAGAAUGCUUUUGAGAAAAUCAAGCAGUAUUUGUUGAAUGCUCCAAUGUUAUCUCCGCCUAGUCUAGAUAAACCGUUAAUACUAUACUUGUCAGUGUUUAGCAAUUCUAUGGGAUGUGUGCUUGGUCAGCAUGACGAGUCAGGGAAAAAGGAAAAGGCAAUUUAUUAUCUCAGUAAGAAAUUUACUGAUUGUGAAAUGAGAUAUUCACUAAUCGAAAAGUUGUGCUGUGCGUUGAUUUGGACCACACGGAGAUUAAGACAAUACAUGCUAUACCAUACAACUUGGCUCAUCUCAAAAUUAGAUCCAUUAAAAUACAUGAUGGAAUCAACGGCUCUAAAUGGAAGAAUGGCGAGAUGGCAAAUUUUGCUUUCAGAGUUUGAUAUAGUUUAUGUAAGUCAGAAGGCUAUCAAAGGAAGUGCGGUGGCAGACUUCUUGGCCAGUAGAGCUUUAGAGGAUUACGAGCCAUUGAAUUUUGAUUUUCCAAAUGAGGAGCUAAUGUGUAUAGCAGCAACUGAAGAUUCUCCAUGGAAGCUAAAUUUUGAUGGGGCUUCUAAUGCAGUCAGAAAUGGAAUUGGGGCAGUCUUGGUAUCCCCGAAUGGCGACCAUUACCUGUUCAUGUGCAAGUUGGAUUUUGACUGUACAAAUAAUAUGGCUGAAUACGAAGCAUGCAUCAUGGGGCUCCAAGCGGCCAUAGAAAGAGGCAUAAAAACCCUAGAAGUAUAUGGAGAUUCUGCGUUAGUAAUCUAUCAGUUAAGAGGUGAAUGGGAGACAAGAGACCCUAAGUUGAUCAAUUAUCGAAUGGUAGUUUUAGGGUUACUAAGAGAGUUCGAUGACAUCACCUUCAACUAUCUCCCACGAGAUGAGAAUCAGAUGGCAGAUGCUUUAGCAACCUUGGCUUCACUGAUUAAGGCAAACAAAGAGGAAGAGAUGAGACCAAUUCAAAUGAGUGUCUAUGAAUUUUCAGCUAGCUGUUGUAACCUUGAAGAGGAAGAAAAGGAUGACAAUCCUUAGUAUCAGGAUAUAUUGCGAUAUGUAAGAGAUCGUAAAUAUCCAGCACAGGCAUCCGAAAAUGACAAACGAACCCUGAGAAGAUUAGCUUGUGACUAUGUUUUGGACGGGGAUGUUCUGUAUAAGAGAAGGAAAUACCAAGUACUUUUGAGAUGUGUCAAUGCUGUGGAAGCCAAGCUAAUUCUAGAAGAGGUCCAUGAAGGUGCAUGUGGUACGCAUGCAAAUGGGUUCACGAUGGCAAGACAAAUCAUGAGGUUUGGCUAUUACUGGGCCACUAUGGAAGGAGACUGUAUCAAUUAUGCCAAAAAAUGCCAUAAGUGUCAGAUUUAUGGGGACAAAAUUCAUGUACCACCCUCACCUUUACAUGUCAUGACGUCUCCAUGGCCAUUUUCCAUGUAGGGCAUGGAUAUCAUCAGACCAAUAUCGCCGAAAGCUUCGAAUGGACAUCGGUUUAUUUUCGUAGUUAUUGACUACUUUACAAAAUGGGUAGAGGUUGCUUCUUACGCAAAUGUUACUAAGUCAGCUAUAAGUCGAUUUUUGAAGAAGGAAAUCAUUUGUCGGUAUGGAGUGCCUGAGAGGAUCAUAUCCGACAAUGUAUUGAAUUUGAACAACAAAACGAUAGCAGAGGUUUCGACCAGUUCAAAAUCAAGCAUCACAACUCUUCACCCUAUCGUCCAAAGAUGAAUGGGGCAGUGGAGGCUGCCAAUAAAAACAUUAAGAAAAUAGUGGGAAAGAUGACUGAGACUUAUAGAGAUUGGCAUGAAAAGCUACCGUUUUCACUCUUGGCUUAUCGAACAUCUGUUAGAACUUCUACUGGGGCAACUCCGUUCUCGUUAGUUUACUGGAUGGAAGCAGUUUUACCUAUUGAAGUGGAAAUACCCUCUCUCCGAAUUUUAACAGAGAUAAGGUUAGAUGAAGCUGAAUGGGUUCAGUCUCGAUAUGACCAGCUAAACUUGAUUGAGGAAAAGAGGCUGAAGGCUAUCCAACAUAGUCAGAUGUACCAGAAGCGUAUGAUACGAGCUUAUGAUAAAAAAGUUCGUCCAAGGGAAUUCCAUGAGGGGGACCUUGUGCUAAAGAAAAUCAUUCCCAUUCAAAAGGACUUUAGAGGAAAGUGGAUGCCAAAUUGGGAGGGGCCAUACGUCGUGAAGAAGGCUUUUUCUGGUGGUGCAUUGAUUUUGACAGAAAUGGAUGGAAAAAGCCUACCCAAUCCGGUGAACUCAGACUCAGUUAAAAAUACUUUGUCUAAAAGCGAAAAGAAUCCAAGGUGAAAACCUGCAAAAGGGCGCCUUGAAUUUUGAAAAAAAAAUGGAUAGGCCAAUGUGAAAACCCACAAAGGGCACCUUGUGACUAAAGGGAUUUUGAGUUGAAAACCUGAAAGGGCAGCUCAAAUUUUGAAGGGCAUACAGCAAACUUGCUAUAUUUGACUUGACAGAGAGUGAGGCACAGUGUACAUUGGGGCAUCAACAAAGUACUUUGGAUCUUUUAAACACAUGUCGAACUCAAGAAAGGCUUCGGGGAACUAAUGUAUAGAUGCUCAAGCGGCGAUAUUUAUCCUGUUUGCUGUCUUUAGAUUCUAUUUCUUCUUAAAGAUAUGCUAUCAAACUUAUUUCCUUUGUACUGUUAACAAUUCGAAUCCAAUUAUUCUCAAAGAUUUACUCAUCUCCCGAUAUUUUUUAAGUAUGUUGCAUUGAAAUAAUGAUAGAUGAGCUAAAAUAUUUUCACAAAAGAAGUUUUACACAUCACUUUGGAAUUUCUAGAUAAUACAAGAAACUAAAACAGGACAAUUGUUCGAGAAAUUCACGUAAGUAAGGAAUGAAGGAACUCGAGAGAUUUCUUUCUUCCAGUUCAAAAAGAAAUGGAUGAUUCAAUUCUUACAGACAUCCUCAAUAGAUCAUAGCAUUGGAGGAAGGCCUACAAGCUGAGUAAGAAUAAAGUUUUGAGAAAGAGAAAUGAAGGAAUGAAUAAUGACACCUGAGAUAGGGGUUAUAUUCACAGCACUUUGCAUCAUAACAUGUUAAGGGCAUUUGACUCAUUUCAAUCAUAGCAUACUUAGGCAUAGGCACAUACUCAUCCUACAGGUCAUGAAGAUCAAAGAUUUCAACAUGGUAGCCUAUGCUUAUAGGAAAUAAAUUGAAGACAACAGAUCUAAACUUCAGACAUUUAUGUUGAAGCAGAUCCAAGAUGAUUUGGUAUUCUUGUGUUUACAAGAAACAAGUCGAGGACAUAGCAGAUUUGACUCUCAGACGUUCUCAAAGAUAGCAGAUCUAACCUUCAGAUGUUUAUACUGAAGCAGAUCCAAGAUGAUUUGGUAUUUUUGUGUUUACAAGAAACAAAUCGAGGACAUGGCAGAUUUGACUCUCAGAUGUUCUCAAAUAUAGCAGAUCUAACCUUCAGAUGUUUAUACUGAAGCAGAUCCAAGAUGAUUUGGUAUUCUUAUGUUUACAAGAAACAAAUCGAGGACAUAGCAGAUUUGACUCUCAGGCGUUCUCAAAUAUAGCAGAUCUAACUUUCAGAUGUUUAUACUGAAGCAGAUCCAAGAUGAUUUGGUAUUUUUGUGUUUACAAGAAACAAAUCGAGGACAUAGCAGAUUUGACUCUCAGACGUUCUCAAAUAUAGCAGAUCUAACCUUCAGAUGUUUAUACUGAAGCAGAUCCAAGAUGAUUUGGUAUUCUUGUGUUUACAAGGAACAAAUCGAGGACAUUGCAGAUAUGACUCUCAAAUGUUCUGAAACAGACUCAAGAUGAUUAGACAUCCUUGCAAAUUGAAGAAGUAGAAUCAGUGUCUCUAUGUUCGGCGGAAAGCAGAUUGAAGAUCAUAGAAUCGAUCAAAUUUGGGUCUUUCUAUGAAUCUUUGCUUGAUUCCUGUUACACAGCAAUAAACAAAGAGGGGCAGCUGUAAUAGCCCAAAUUUGACCGGGUUUAAAUAAAGAAAAAAUUAGAUAAAUAAAUAAACAUUUAUUAAAAAAGUCCAUUGAAAGUCCAGGCCUACUGUUGCUACCCAAAGCCCAAAUACAAAAACCCAUAUCCGGGUAUAACCCAAUAGCCAGAACAAUACCUAAUACCCCUAAGCUAAACCCAAACCCAAAUAAGACCCGUUACACCCAGCAGCCCGUCAGACUCAUUAUCCCUGCUAGCCUAAGUCAGACCUAACCCAUUACAUUAUAGACCUUGACCCAAAACAAAACAGCCCAAAAGGCCCAACAGACUUUAGAGAAACAGGGAAACCUUAGGGUUCUUGAAUACUGUGGUGCCGCAAACAUUUCUGGAAGCUUCGGGGAGUGUCUGGCAACCCCCAAAUUGAGGCCACCGUUUAAUGAGUUGUCCCAAGGGGCUUCAAUGCUCAUCAACGCCCCGAUCAUCGGUCGUCCCUUGGUCUGGCCCCA